This 486-nucleotide ribosomal RNA is filed under the name uncultured bacterium. Its description in RNAcentral is "bacterial SSU rRNA". It matches the Rfam family "Bacterial small subunit ribosomal RNA", at positions 32 to 524 of the family's 1533-position model. The record is from RNAcentral.
AAUCAACGCUGGCGGCGUGCCUAACACAUGCAAGUCGAACGCGAAAGCCCCGCAAGGGGUAAGUAGAGUGGCGCACGGGUGAGUAACACGUGGAUAACCUGCCUUUGAGUGGGGAAUAACCUUCCGAAAGGAGGGCUAAUACCGCAUAACACCUUCAGACAAAAGUACCAGGGGUUAAAAGGAAGCAAUUCGCUUAAAGAGGGGUCCGCGCCUGAUUAGCUUGUUGGCGGGGGUAAUGGCCCACCAAGGCUUCGACAGUAGCCGUCCUGAGAGGGAGCACGGCCACACUGGAACUGAGACACGGUCCAGACUCCUACGGGAGGGCAGCAGUGGGGAAUUUUGGUCAAUGGGCGAAAGCCUGACCAAGCAACGCCGCGUGGGUGAUGAAGUAUCUUGGUACGUAAAACCCUUUCGGCAGGGACGAACUCAAUGACGGUACCUGCGGAACGAAGCCCCGGCUAACUCCGUGCCAGCAGCCGCUGUAAC